RNAcentral lists this ribosomal RNA (1462 nucleotides) under Escherichia coli. RNAcentral's name for it is "partial 23S ribosomal RNA". It matches the Rfam family "Bacterial large subunit ribosomal RNA", at positions 1506 to 2925 of the family's 2925-position model. Lineage: Bacteria; Pseudomonadati; Pseudomonadota; Gammaproteobacteria; Enterobacterales; Enterobacteriaceae. The record is from RNAcentral.
CCCGGUUUAAGCGUGUAGGCUGGUUUUCCAGGCAAAUCCGGAAAAUCAAGGCUGAGGCGUGAUGACGAGGCACUACGGUGCUGAAGCAACAAAUGCCCUGCUUCCAGGAAAAGCCUCUAAGCAUCAGGUAACAUCAAAUCGUACCCCAAACCGACACAGGUGGUCAGGUAGAGAAUACCAAGGCGCUUGAGAGAACUCGGGUGAAGGAACUAGGCAAAAUGGUGCCGUAACUUCGGGAGAAGGCACGCUGAUAUGUAGGUGAAGUCCCUCGCGGAUGGAGCUGAAAUCAGUCGAAGAUACCAGCUGGCUGCAACUGUUUAUUAAAAACACAGCACUGUGCAAACACGAAAGUGGACGUAUACGGUGUGACGCCUGCCCGGUGCCGGAAGGUUAAUUGAUGGGGUCAGCGCAAGCGAAGCUCUUGAUCGAAGCCCCGGUAAACGGCGGCCGUAACUAUAACGGUCCUAAGGUAGCGAAAUUCCUUGUCGGGUAAGUUCCGACCUGCACGAAUGGCGUAAUGAUGGCCAGGCUGUCUCCACCCGAGACUCAGUGAAAUUGAACUCGCUGUGAAGAUGCAGUGUACCCGCGGCAAGACGGAAAGACCCCGUGAACCUUUACUAUAGCUUGACACUGAACAUUGAGCCUUGAUGUGUAGGAUAGGUGGGAGGCUUUGAAGUGUGGACGCCAGUCUGCAUGGAGCCGACCUUGAAAUACCACCCUUUAAUGUUUGAUGUUCUAACGUGGACCCGUGAUCCGGGUUGCGGACAGUGUCUGGUGGGUAGUUUGACUGGGGCGGUCUCCUCCUAAAGAGUAACGGAGGAGCACGAAGGUUGGCUAAUCCUGGUCGGACAUCAGGAGGUUAGUGCAAUGGCAUAAGCCAGCUUGACUGCGAGCGUGACGGCGCGAGCAGGUGCGAAAGCAGGUCAUAGUGAUCCGGUGGUUCUGAAUGGAAGGGCCAUCGCUCAACGGAUAAAAGGUACUCCGGGGAUAACAGGCUGAUACCGCCCAAGAGUUCAUAUCGACGGCGGUGUUUGGCACCUCGAUGUCGGCUCAUCACAUCCUGGGGCUGAAGUAGGUCCCAAGGGUAUGGCUGUUCGCCAUUUAAAGUGGUACGCGAGCUGGGUUUAGAACGUCGUGAGACAGUUCGGUCCCUAUCUGCCGUGGGCGCUGGAGAACUGAGGGGGGCUGCUCCUAGUACGAGAGGACCGGAGUGGACGCAUCACUGGUGUUCGGGUUGUCAUGCCAAUGGCACUGCCCGGUAGCUAAAUGCGGAAGAGAUAAGUGCUGAAAGCAUCUAAGCACGAAACUUGCCCCGAGAUGAGUUCUCCCUGACCCUUUAAGGGUCCUGAAGGAACGUUGAAGACGACGACGUUGAUAGGCCGGGUGUGUAAGCGCAGCGAUGCGUUGAGCUAACCGGUACUAAUGAACCGUGAGGCUUAACCUUACAACGCCGAAGGUGUUU